AGAGUAUUCAAAUUUUAGGAUGUUGGUCUUUUUUUCUUACUUCAAUAUUAUAUUUUAACUCACCCAAUAGCUCAGUUCUUACUACUGAACUCCGUGGCUAUUAUUAUAGUCCCUUAGCUCAGUUGGUUAGAGCGCUACACUGAUAAUGUAGAGGUCCGCAGUUCAAAUCUGCGAGGGACUACGCUAGGGGGAUUAGCUCAGCUGGCUAGAGCGCCUGCCUUGCACGCAGGAGGUCAUCGGUUCGACUCCGAUAUUCUCCACUAAACUCAAAUGAGUUGAAGUUCUUUGACGUAUUUCAAUAUUAAUAAUCAUAAAAAGUACAUAACAAAUUGUUACUUAUU
This 341-nucleotide transfer RNA is filed under the name uncultured Cryomorphaceae bacterium. RNAcentral describes it as "16S-23S ribosomal RNA intergenic spacer". The stretch from base 108 to 181 matches the Rfam family "tRNA". The record is from RNAcentral. Lineage: Bacteria; Pseudomonadati; Bacteroidota; Flavobacteriia; Flavobacteriales; Cryomorphaceae.